GUCUAGGCCAUGCCAUCCUGAACACGCCCAAUAUCAUCUGAUAUCAGAAGCUAAGCAGGAUCAGGCCUGGUUAGUACUUGGAUGGGAGACCACCUAGGAAGACAGGGUUCUGUAAGCA
RNAcentral lists this ribosomal RNA (118 nucleotides) under Pteropus alecto (black flying fox). RNAcentral also lists the same sequence under 1 other name. Lineage: Eukaryota; Metazoa; Chordata; Mammalia; Chiroptera; Pteropodidae. The record is from RNAcentral.